Long non-coding RNA from Callithrix jacchus (white-tufted-ear marmoset), 328 nucleotides. RefSeq lists it as uncharacterized. NCBI's taxonomy places the organism in Eukaryota, Metazoa, Chordata, Mammalia, Primates, Cebidae. The record is from RefSeq and is a predicted model, not a curated record.
CAGCAGGAGAGCUGCAGAGCACAAACAUCUGAACUAUCAGCAAGCUCUGGACAAAGAGGACGCUGACUUCUGCACGAACCCCUCCAGUUUCGGUGAAAUACUUCUCAAGGUACUAGUCUCAUCUUUUCCCAGAAAUGAAGGAUGGUCAGACUAUCUGGGAUUACAAGCAGAGAGCGAAAAUGUCCCUUUAACCCGAGGACACUGCAGGAAAGGUCCUUCUUCCCCUUGGGCAUUUUCCUCACGAUUGCUUUAGCCCGGCCCUCAGGCUAUGGAGUUCUCCUUUCCAUUCUGUGAAUACACUGGAACUGAAAAUAAGAUUUGGAAUAAA